RNAcentral lists this transfer RNA (67 nucleotides) under Alligator sinensis (Chinese alligator). It matches the Rfam family "tRNA". From Rfam's summary of the family: Transfer RNA (tRNA) molecules are approximately 80 nucleotides in length. Their secondary structure includes four short double-helical elements and three loops (D, anti-codon, and T loops). The record is from Rfam by way of RNAcentral. Lineage: Eukaryota; Metazoa; Chordata; Crocodylia; Alligatoridae.
AGCCUCGUAGCCUAGUGGUUAAGGCCUUUGGCUGUCAAUCAAGAAACUAAACUCAAGUUCUAGGCUG